Molecule: ribosomal RNA, 497 nt
Filed under: uncultured bacterium
Lineage: Bacteria
Description: partial 16S ribosomal RNA
Rfam family: Bacterial small subunit ribosomal RNA
Source: RNAcentral
GAUGAACGCUGGCGGCGUGCCUAAUACAUGCAAGUCGAGCGAACAGACGAGGAGCUUGCUCCUCUGACGUUAGCGGCGGACGGGUGAGUAACACGUGGAUAACCUACCUAUAAGACUGGGAUAACUUCGGGAAACCGGAGCUAAUACCGGAUAACAUGUUGAACCGCAUGGUUCAACAGUGAAAGACGGUCUUGCUGUCACUUAUAGAUGGAUCCGCGCCGCAUUAGCUAGUUGGUAAGGUAACGGCUUACCAAGGCAACGAUGCGUAGCCGACCUGAGAGGGUGAUCGGCCACACUGGAACUGAGACACGGUCCAGACUACUACGGGAGGCAGCAGUAGGGAAUCUUCCGCAAUGGGCGAAAUCCUGACGGAGCAACGCCGCGUGAGUGAAGAAGGUCUUCGGAUCGUAAAACUCUGUUAUUAGGGAAGAACAAAUGUGUAAGUAACUAUGCACGUCUUGACGGUACCUAAUCAGAAAGCCACGGCUAACUACGUG